GAUGAACGCUGGCGGCGUGCCUAAUACAUGCAAGUCGAGCGAACAGACGAGGAGCUUACUCCUCUGACGUUAGCGGCGGACGGGUGAGUAACACGUGGAUAACCUACCUAUAAGACUGGGAUAACUUCGGGAAACCGGAGCUAAUACCGGAUAACAUGUUGAACCGCAUGGUUCAACAGUGAAAGACGGUCUUGCUGUCACUUAUAGAUGGAUCCGCGUCGCAUUAGCUAGUUGGUAAGGUAACGGCUUACCAAGGCAACGAUGCGUAGCCGACCUGAGAGGGUGAUCGGCCACACUGGAACUGAGACACGGUCCAGACUCCUACGGGAGGCAGCAGUAGGGAAUCUUCCGCAAUGGGCGAAAGCCUGACGGAGCAACGCCGCGUGAGUGAAGAAGGUCUUCGGAUCGUAAAACUCUGUUAUUAGGGAAGAGCAAAUGUGUAAGUAACUAUGCACGUCUUGACGGUACCUAAUCAGAAAGCCACGGCUAACUACGUG
This 497-nucleotide ribosomal RNA is filed under the name uncultured bacterium. RNAcentral describes it as "partial 16S ribosomal RNA". It matches the Rfam family "Bacterial small subunit ribosomal RNA", at positions 28 to 507 of the family's 1533-position model. The record is from RNAcentral.